UAUUAAAAUUUCAUCUAUUUAUAUUGUUAAAAACUGAUGUGCCUAACAAAAUAACCAAGACACGUGACGUGCUAUAUAUAUAUCAUGCUGACGUAUAAUGAUCAAUUUUUAACAGCAUAAAUAGAUGGAAUUUUUAACA
Gossypium hirsutum (cotton) is the source of this 139-nucleotide non-coding RNA. Lineage: Eukaryota; Viridiplantae; Streptophyta; Magnoliopsida; Malvales; Malvaceae. The record is from Rfam.